UGAGUACGAGACGCUAAGGCGUCGAAGUAGUGUAUGUCAUACUUCCAAGAAAAGCUUGCACUGUCAUUCAUAAAAAAUGCCUGUACCAUAACCGACACAGGUGGGUAGGUAGAGUAUACUAAGGGGCGCGAGAUAACUCUCUCUAAGGAACUCGGCAAAAUAACUCCGUAACUUCGGGAGAAGGAGUGCCUUAUUUAUAUAAGGUUGCAAUAACAAGAUCCAAGCAACUGUUUACCAAAAACACAGGUCUCCGCUAAGUCGCAAGACGAUGUAUGGGGGCUGACGCCUGCCCAGUGCCAGAAGGUUAAAGAAGUUGGUUAGCAAUAGCGAAGCUAGUAACUGAAGCCCUGGUGAACGGCGGCCGUAACGAUAACGGUCCUAAGGUAGCGAAAUUCCUUGUCGGGUAAGUUCCGACCCGCACGAAAGGCGUAAUGAUUUGGAUACUGUCUCGGAGAGGGACUCGGUGAAAUAGACUUGUCUGUGAAGAUGCGGACUACCUGCACCAGGACAGAAAGACCCUAUGAAGCUUUACUGUAACUUGAAAUUGAAAUUGGACUUUAUUCGCGCAGUAUAGGUGGGAGGCAUUGAAAAUAAUCUUGCGGGAAUAUUGGAGCCAUCAGUGAGAUACCACUCUUGUAAUGUUAGAUUUCUAACUUUGAAUCAUUAUCUGGUCAAAGAACAGUUUCAGGCGGGCAGUUUGACUGGGGCGGUCGCCUCCCAAAUGGUAACGGAGGCGUACAAAGGUUUCCUCUGAACGGGUAGAAAUCGUAUCUAGAGUGUAAAGGCAAAAGGAAGCUUGACUGUGAGACCUACAAGUCGAGCAGGGACGAAAGUCGGUCUUAGUGAUCUGACGGUACUGAGUGGAAAGGCCGUCACUCAACGGAUAAAAGUUACUCUAGGAUAACAGGCUGAUCUCCCCCAAGAGUUCACAUCGACGGGGAGGUUUGGCACCUCGAUGUCGGCUCAUCGCAUCCUGGGGCGGUAGUACGUCCCAAGGGUUGGGCUGUUCGCCCAUGAAAGCGGUACGCGAGCUGGGUUCAGAACGUCGUGAGACAGUUCGGUCCAUAUCCGGUGUAGGCGUUAGAAUAUUGAGAGGAGCCUUCUUUAGUACGAGAGGACCGAGAAGGACAUACCUCUGGUGUACCAGUUAUCGUGCCAACGGUAAACGCUGGGUAGCUAUGUAUGGAGUGGAUAACCGCUGAAAGCAUCUAAGUGGGAAGCCCACCUCAAGAUGAGUAUUCUCAAAAAA
Molecule: ribosomal RNA, 1249 nt
Filed under: metagenome
Description: bacterial LSU rRNA
Rfam family: Bacterial large subunit ribosomal RNA
Source: RNAcentral